GAUGAAGAACGCAGCGAAAUGCGAUAAGUAAUGCGAAUUGCAGAAUUCAGUGAGUCAUCGAAUCUUUGAACGCAUAUUGCGCCCUUUGGUAUUCCGAAGGGCAUGCCUGUUCGAGCGUCAUUUCAACCCUCAAGCACAGCUUGGUGUUGGGACUCGCGUUAAUUCGCGUUCCCCAAAUUGAUUGGCGGUCACGUCGAGCUUCCAUAGCGUAGUAGUAAAACCCUCGUUACUGGUAAUCGUCGCGGCCACGCCGUUAAACCCCAACUUCUGAAUGUUGACCUCGGAUCAGGUAGGAAUACCCGCUGAACUUAAGCAUAUCAAUAAGCGGAGGA
RNAcentral lists this unclassified non-coding RNA (332 nucleotides) under soil metagenome. RNAcentral's name for it is "partial contains 5.8S ribosomal RNA, internal transcribed spacer 2, and large subunit ribosomal RNA". The stretch from base 1 to 120 matches the Rfam family "5.8S ribosomal RNA", at positions 35 to 154 of the family's 154-position model. The record is from RNAcentral.